Molecule: ribosomal RNA, 251 nt
Filed under: uncultured prokaryote
Description: partial 16S ribosomal RNA
Rfam family: Bacterial small subunit ribosomal RNA
Source: RNAcentral
GACGUAGGGCGCAAGCGUUGUCCGGAUUUAUUGGGCGUAAAGAGCUCGUAGGCGGUUUGUCGCGUCUGCUGUGAAAACCCGAGGCUCAACCUCGGGCCUGCAGUGGGUACGGGCAGACUAGAGUGCGGUAGGGGAGAUUGGAAUUCCUGGUGUAGCGGUGGAAUGCGCAGAUAUCAGGAGGAACACCGAUGGCGAAGGCAGAUCUCUGGGCCGUAACUGACGCUGAGGAGCGAAAGCGUGGGGAGCGAACA